Pelobates cultripes (western spadefoot toad) is the source of this 429-nucleotide non-coding RNA. Lineage: Eukaryota; Metazoa; Chordata; Amphibia; Anura; Pelobatidae. The record is from the annotation of a GenBank genome assembly.
CAUUUGCGGCCUGCGGUGCAUUUCUUGCAGUCCUGAUGCAUGGAGAAAUGCUCAACUCCUGAUGCAUGGAGAAAAGGCCUUCACAAGCCUCUGCCAUUGUGUACAUAGUUUAUGCUAAGUGACCCAUAGGUUGAGGAGGUGGUGACCGUGGCGGUGUAGGUGGACGGGUAACGGGGAAUCAGGGUUCGAUUCCGGAGAGGGAGCCUGAGAAACGGCUGCCACAUGCAAAGAAGGCAGCAGGCGCGCAAAUGACCCACUCCCGACGCGGGAAGGUAGUGACAACAAAUAACAAUAACAAAAUCUAAUCUUUAGAGGCCCUGUAAUUGUAAUGAGUCCACUUGAAAUCCUUUAACUCUGAUCAAUUGGAGGGCAAGUCUGGUGCAGAGCAACUGACCUGUGCGUGCUGCAGCUGAAACUCCAGCAGCAAGG